AAUCUGUUCAUUCUCCGACACA
Molecule: microRNA, 22 nt
Filed under: Drosophila melanogaster (fruit fly)
Lineage: Eukaryota; Metazoa; Arthropoda; Insecta; Diptera; Drosophilidae
Description: Dme-Mir-973_3p* (star (passenger))
Source: RNAcentral